AUCCAACUGAUAAGUCCCAAAUAGGACAAAAUGCGCAUCCUGGAU
Molecule: non-coding RNA, 45 nt
Filed under: Schistosoma curassoni
Lineage: Eukaryota; Metazoa; Platyhelminthes; Trematoda; Strigeidida; Schistosomatidae
Source: RNAcentral